UACGAAAGGUGCAAGCGUUAAUCGGAAUUACUGGGCGUAAAGCGCGCGUAGGCGGUGUGUUAAGUCGGAUGUGAAAGCCCAGGGCUCAACCUUGGAACUGCAUCCGAUACUGGCACGCUAGAGUGCAGUAGAGGGAGGUGGAAUUUCCGGUGUAGCGGUGAAAUUCGUAGAUAUUGGGAAGAACACCGGUGGCGAAGGCGGCGACCUGGUCCAUUACUGACGCUGAGGCGCGAAAGCGUGGGGAGCAAACAGG
RNAcentral lists this ribosomal RNA (253 nucleotides) under uncultured bacterium. RNAcentral describes it as "partial 16S ribosomal RNA". It matches the Rfam family "Bacterial small subunit ribosomal RNA", at positions 524 to 776 of the family's 1533-position model. The record is from RNAcentral.